RNAcentral lists this ribosomal RNA (511 nucleotides) under uncultured bacterium. RNAcentral describes it as "bacterial SSU rRNA". It matches the Rfam family "Bacterial small subunit ribosomal RNA", at positions 15 to 518 of the family's 1533-position model. The record is from RNAcentral.
GAUCAUGGCUCAGGAUGAACGCUAGCUACAGGCUUAACACAUGCAAGUCGAGGGGCAUCGGGGAGUAGCAAUACUCUGCCGGCGACCGGCGCACGGGUGAGUAACACGUAUCCAACCUGCCUUCAGCUCGGGGAUAGCCCUCUGAAAGGAGGAUUAAUACCCGAUGUGGUUGCUGGGAGACAUCUCUUUGCAAUUAAAGAUUUAUCGGCUGAUGAUGGGGAUGCGUAUGAUUAGCUUGUUGGCGGGUAACGGCCCACCAAGGCGACGAUCAUUAGGGGUUCUGAGAGGAAGGUCCCCCACAUAGGAACUGAGACACGGUCCUAACUCCUACGGGAGGCAGCAGUGAGGAAUAUUGGUCAAUGGACGCGAGUCUGAACCAGCCAAGUAGCGUGAAAAGGAUGACUGCCCUACGGGUUGUAAACUUCUUUUAUGGGAGGAUAAAGUGCGGCACGUGUGCCGUUUUGCAGGUAUCCCAUGAAUAAGCAUCGGCUAAUUCCGUGCCAGCCGCGGC